This 414-nucleotide ribosomal RNA is filed under the name uncultured bacterium. Its description in RNAcentral is "bacterial SSU rRNA". It matches the Rfam family "Bacterial small subunit ribosomal RNA", at positions 355 to 774 of the family's 1533-position model. The record is from RNAcentral.
UCGAGAAUCUUCGGCAAUGGGCGCAAGCCUGACCGAGCGACGCCGCGUGGAGGACGAAGGCCUUCGGGUUGUAAACUCCUGUCGAGGGGGAAGAAGGUCCGCGAGGGCUUGACUGAUCCCUGGAGGAAGCACGGGCUAAGUUCGUGCCAGCAGCCGCGGUAAGACGAACCGUGCGAACGUUAUUCGGAAUCACUGGGCUUAAAGCGCGUGUAGGCGGGGCGGCACGUCGGACGCUGAAAUCCCCCGGCUCAACCGGGGAACGGGCGCCGAUACGACCGCCCUCGAGGGGCGUAGGGGGACCUGGAACUUCCGGUGGAGCGGUGAAAUGCGUUGAGAUCGGAAGGAACGCCCGUGGCGAAAGCGAGGUCCUGGACGUCUUCUGACGCUGAGACGCGAAAGCCAGGGGAGCGAACG